GUCUAUAUCAGUCCUACAAGGAAGAAAAGAUGCUUUAGAUGACAAAUCAAGAAAGAAAUAGAUUUCCAAAAGACAAUGACUGCACCUUAGAAUGUUGGAUAUUCCAGGUAGAUCAGGCUUUUAUGGGAAUGAUAGAGAACUGCUUGUCACGUAUAGUGCAGCUGAUUAAAUGAGGUGACUCAAUUUUUUUUUUCAUUUGUCUAGGAUCUGCUACUACUUAAUUGUUUCCUCUACGUGGAUGCACCUCCAUAAAUCCUCCCCUGACACCUCUGCAAAGGCUCCAAUGAUGGAUGAAGUCAAAAAGACUGGAAAAAAAAGCAGAGGUCCAAGCGCUAUGCUUCUUACAUCAGUUCUGGAAAUUGGCAGCAGCUAUGUCAGCAGAAAUACCAUUUUGCUAAUCCUUGCAGGUGUAAAAGAAAUCGUGCCACUCCUGAUCCAGCUGGAUAUCCUGAAACUAGAGCCCUGUGUGGACUGAAUCCACUGGUCAUGCUCCGAGCAAAUGGAGAAGGGAAGCAUCUCCAUAUCAGCAGAACAGGGAUGGUGACAACCUCCAGCAAAGAGGAGACAACAAACAGCUGAUAGCAUACUCAACUUGAAAAAUUUUACUGUUUUUAAAAUGUCAAAAACUUAUUUUAGGAUGGAUUGCUGCCAUGGUCAUCCCUUUAUAACAGGAAAGUUUUUUUUCUAGUGAAAACAGGUUUAAAAUAUCCUAUAGACAGUAGCAUGAAAGUAUUUGUUCAUAAAGCCUGCAUGUAAUGAAUAUGGAAGAGGAUGUGCAGACAUAUUUAACUUUGGCUGUUUUUGCAAUCCCCAUGUACUCUGAAGAUAGGUUUUAUAUGGAAUACACACACACACACGAAAAAUAUUUAACAUAAUCCAACAGCAUAAAAACAUAAAAAGCAUAAAACAUCCUGAUUUUCUGUGAUGAAAAAUUGCAAAAAAAAAUCAAAAAUAAUAUAUUUAAAUUGACUAGUAUAAAAUAGAGGCAUUUUUUAAAGGCUCUGAACAUUUUCAGCAGCACAGACAUUUUAAUUCAUGCUCUGUGCUUAACUAAUGGCAGCUGCAUUCUCCAAAAUUGCACACUUGGUCCUAUCCUCCCACACUCUCUCACAGCUAACCAACAAAAACUCUCAAGGGUUUAAAAAUAAUCUUACUGAGCUCAGGGCAAAGGAGGCUUUUACACUGAUGGUAUGCUACAGACCUUUUGUAAAUCAGUUAUCAAUCCCAAGAUAAAACUACAAAUUUAGAGAUAGAUUUUUAAGUCUAAUUUUGCAUGUGGUAAUUAUUAAUAAAAUAAUAAACUGAUAGACA
This is a long non-coding RNA of Struthio camelus australis, 1311 nucleotides long. The record is from Ensembl. NCBI's taxonomy places the organism in Eukaryota, Metazoa, Chordata, Aves, Struthioniformes, Struthionidae.